Molecule: ribosomal RNA, 277 nt
Filed under: uncultured bacterium
Lineage: Bacteria
Description: partial 16S ribosomal RNA
Rfam family: Bacterial small subunit ribosomal RNA
Source: RNAcentral
GCCCUACGGGGCGCAGCAGUGGGGAAUAUUGCACAAUGGGGGAAACCCUGAUGCAGCGACGCCGCGUGAGUGAAGAAGUAUUUCGGUAUGUAAAGCUCUAUCAGCAGGGAAGAUAAUGACGGUACCUGACUAAGAAGCCCCGGCUAACUACGUGCCAGCAGCCGCGGUAAUACGUAGGGAGCAAGCGUUAUCCGGAUUUACUGGGUGUAAAGGGCGUGUAGGCGGGCCUGCACGUCAGAAGUGAAAUCUGGGGGCUUAACCCCCAAACUGCUUUUGA